Molecule: ribosomal RNA, 449 nt
Filed under: uncultured bacterium
Lineage: Bacteria
Description: bacterial SSU rRNA
Rfam family: Bacterial small subunit ribosomal RNA
Source: RNAcentral
AACGAACGCUGGCGGCAGGCCUAACACAUGCAAGUCGAACGCUCUCUUCGGAGGGAGUGGCAGACGGGUGAGUAACGCGUGGGAAUCUACCCAGUACUGCGGAAUAACACAGAGAAAUUUGUGCUAAUACCGCAUACGCCCUUCGGGGGAAAGAUUUAUCGGUAUUGGAUGAGCCCGCGUUUGAUUAGCUAGUUGGUGAGGUAAUGGCUCACCAAGGCGACGAUCAAUAGCUGGUCUGAGAGGAUGAUCAGCCACACUGGGACUGAGACACGGCCCAGACUCCUACGGGAGCAGCAGUGGGGAAUAUUGGACAAUGGGCGCAAGCCUGAUCCAGCCAUGCCGCGUGUGUGAUGACGGCCUUAGGGUUGUAAAGCACUUUCAACGGUGAAGAUAAUGACGGUAACCGUAGAAGAAGCCCCGGCUAACUUCGUGCCAGCAGCCGCGGUAAU